CGCUCAAAAAAGGCUUUAAAUAGGCUUUGGGCCUUGCCUUUUUUGGCGAGUCUAAU
Non-coding RNA from Carboxydothermus hydrogenoformans Z-2901, 56 nucleotides. NCBI's taxonomy places the organism in Bacteria, Bacillati, Bacillota, Clostridia, Thermoanaerobacterales, Thermoanaerobacteraceae. The record is from Rfam.